Homo sapiens (human) is the source of this 113-nucleotide unclassified non-coding RNA. It matches the Rfam family "Y RNA". Rfam says of the family: Y RNAs are components of the Ro ribonucleoprotein particle (Ro RNP), in association with Ro60 and La proteins. The Y RNAs and Ro60 and La proteins are well conserved, but the function of the Ro RNP is not known. The record is from Ensembl. NCBI's taxonomy places the organism in Eukaryota, Metazoa, Chordata, Mammalia, Primates, Hominidae.
GGCUGGUCCGAAGGUGGUGAGUUACCUCAGAUGAUUGUUAACAGUCAGUUACAGAUCCAACUCCUUGUUCUACUCUCUCCCCUUUCCUCACUAUUGUACUUGACUAGUCUUAA